UUUUUUUUUUUAUGUGCUCACUGGCGAUUUGCAUUCCCUUUUGUAAAAAUGUCUAUCCAGUUCUUCUGCCCAUUUUUAAUGUUUUUUUUUUAAUGUUGAGUUUUAUGAGCUAUUUAUAGAUGUUGGAUCUUAGCCCCUUAUCAGCCAUAUCAUUUGAAGAUAUCUUCUUCCAAUAAGUAGGUUGUCUUUUCGUUUUGUCAAUGGUUUCCUUUGCUGUGCAAAAUCUUUUAAGUUUAUUAGGUCCCAUUUGUUGAUUUUUGCUUUUGUUUCUUUUGCUUUAGGAGAGAGAUCCAAAAAAAAAUAUUGCUGCAAUUUAUGUUAGAGUGUUCUGCCUAUGUUUUCCUCUAAGAAUUAUGUAAUAUCCAGUCUUACAUUUAGGUCUUUAAUCCAUUUUGAGUUUAUUUAUGUUUGUAUGUUAGAGAAUGUUCUAAUUUCAUUCUUUUUACAAAUGGCUAUCCAGUUUUCCCAGCACCACUUAUUGAAGAGACUGUCCUUUCUCCAUUGUAUAUCCUUGCUCCCUUUGUUGUAGAUUAAUUGAUGAUAAGUGCAGGGGUUUAUUUCUGAGAUUCCUAUCCUCUUCCAUUGAUCUCUAUGUCUGUGCCAAUAGCAUACUGCUUUGAUUGCAAUAGCUUUGCAAUAUACUCUAACAUCAGAGAGCAUCAUUCCUCCAGCUCUGUUCUUUAUCAAGAUUGUUUUGGCUGUUUGGGGUCUUCUGUGUUUCCCUAGAGAUUUUGAAAUUAUUUGUACUGGUUCUGUGAAAAAUGCCUUUGGUAUUUUAAUAGGGAUUGCAUUGAAUCUGUAGAGUACCUUGCAUGGUAUGGUCAUUUUAACAAUAUUAAUUUCUCCAGUCCAAGAACACAGUAUAUCUUUCCAUCUGUUUGUGUCCUCUUCCAUGUCUUUCCACAUUGUCUUACAGUUUUCCAAGUACAACUAUUUUCCCUUCUUAGGUAGGUUGAUACCUAAGUAUCUUAUUCUUUUUGAUGUAAUGGGUCUGUUUCUUUAAUUUUUCUGAUAUUUUAUUAUUAGUAUAUAGAAAUUCAACAGAUUUCUUUAUAUUAAUUUUCUAUCCUGCAACUUUACCCAGAUUCAUUGAUGAGCUCUCAUAGUUUUCUGGUAGCAUCUUUAGGAUUUUCUAUUUAUGAUUAUGUAUGGUUUUUCUAUGCAGGAUUUUCAUGUCAUCUGCAAAUAAAAAUAAAAUAUAAAUUCUAUCUUUGAAAAAAUGAAUAUGAUGAAUAGACCUCUUGUAAGAAUGAUCAAGAAAAGGAAAGGCAGGGAGUUCUCCAGUGGCACAGCAAAUUAAGGAUCCGGCAUUGUCACUGCUUGGUGUGCAAUAUAUCCCUGGCCCAGGAACUUCUGUUUGGGCAUGGUCAAAAGGAAAAAAAAGGAAAGACUAAUUUAGAGUAUUAUAGGGAAAAGAGAUUUGAACUACAGAUAAGAUUGAAUGGGUGUACUCCUGUCCAGCAGUGUAAAUGAAUGAACUACAUAUACCUAAAAAUCUUAAAAAUAAAGCUGUGAAUUAUGAUGUUUCAAAAAGAUAUGUGCAGUAUUGUACAUUUGUAUAAAUGUUAAACAAUAUAUUUUAUGUGUGCAUAAAAAAUAGAAAAAAAUUUAAUUUAAAUUUUAAAUUUGAUUUUCCGAUUAACAAUUUUAUUUUAAAAUCUUAUUUAGAAUUAGAAUUCUCAUAAGAAUUAAAAUGCUAAUUUAUCCACUUUAAGAUACUAGUUUCCUCUGGGAGGAAAGAAGCUUGAAGGAAUUGGGCAGAGGUGAGGGUAGUAUAAAAGGGAUUUUAGCUGUACCUUUAAUGUUAUCUUUCCUUUGUGUCCCAGAGAAAAUGACAGAGAGAGAACUAAAGGCACAAAAAGAAAAAUAUCAUUAUCUUUUAGGCCUUAUAGGGAGUACAUGUUGGUGCCUUCUAUAUUAUUUUCUGUACUUUGGAUAUAUUUGAAUUGUUUUAUAAUUUAAAAUUAUUUUGAGGAGUUCCCAUUGUGGCUCAGCAGUAAUGAACCCAACUAGUAUCCAUGAGGUUACAGGUUCAAUCCCUGGCCUUGCUCACUGGGUUAAGGAUCCGUCAUUGCUGUGAGCUGUGGUGUAGUCUGCAGACACGGCUCAGAUCCUGCAUUGAUGUGGCUGUGGCAUAGCCCAGCAACUGCAGCUCCAAUUCCACCCCUCAUCUAGGAACCUCCAUAUGCCGCACCUAUGGCCAUAAAAAGCAAAAAAAAAAAAAAAAAUUAUUUUGAGGUUGAAUUUAGUCAGUCAUGCUAUAAACUUCACACAGCAAAUUGUGCUGUAUAGUUAUCAUUUUCCUGAAUAGCCUCACAAGUGACAUAGCUACCAGAUUUACAGACAACAGUCAAUACAUAUUCUAUCACAAAACUUCCACAGAUCAUGUCAGUGGUAGUUACAAUUCUUUACUGAUUCCUUAGAGGAUGCCAGACUUAACAGUAGGGACCCACGAAAUAACUGCAACAUGAUUCAUUGUCACGGUUAAAUUAUUGCUAAGGGUGAGUACAUGCCCUAUGGUACUGGCCUUGCAAAUGAGGUCAAAGAAAUGUCUGUACUUAAAAAGGAGGAUUCAGUGUGAUAGAAAUGCAGCCUUAGUUAAUUGCACUAUGUCCUUCCCCUAUCUUAACACUGGUCACUUUGGAUCAUCAUUACUGGUCUGUCUGUAUGCUUGGCUCACUGUGGGCACACAAUAAAUAAUUGCUGACUGACUGAUUAAUCUCCAGGAAAAGAAAUUCCACAAACAAAGGAACUGCACCUAUUUAGCCCCAGUUCCUAAUAUGGUAGACCUAGCAGGAGGUAGCACCAGCAAACAAUUACUGAAUGAAUGAAGAUGCUGCUACAUCCAUGAAAAUUUCUCCGAUUGUGACAGCCAGAAAGAUCUCUUCCUGUCAAAUUUAUAUCCUCCCAAAACAUUUAACAUCUUUUUUCUUAUAAAUACUUGUAUCUAUGUCUCUUUUUUCACUGCUACCUUUUAAGUUUUUUAAGAGCAGGGACUGUUCCUUUUUGUAAUUUAUUACAGAGUGAUGGAAAAUGGCAAGAAAAAAGUCUUAAAACCAAAAUUAAUGCAUAUUUACACUUUUCUAAGUUCAGAAGAAUGCAACUUCAAACCACUUAAAAUGAAUUCCACUUCCAUGGAUAACGGUAGUUGGAAACAAAAGAACGGAUAAUAAUAUGCUAUGCCAUACUGCCUACAGGGUUGGUAUGCCUGUUGCUCAGCUAUUUCUCAUCAAACACCAGCGAACAUAAACAGCUGCCAAACAUUUUCUGGGUCAUUUGUUCUGUUUGUAAACAGAAAGUGUACAAUAAUUAACAAGAUGUAAUCAUUUGAAAACUGGAUUUAUGCAGAAUGAAAGAAUUUUUUUUUAAGCACAGGGAUGUUAAUGCAAGUCUUGAGUGUUUAAUGACCCCAUUAAUUGAGAAAUAGAUAAUGGGAGAAAUUAAACAGAAGAGUUAAUGGCUUUGGAGCCAUGAAUCUAUUCUGGGAGUACUGCUAAUGUUUACUAGGUGAUUUUCUUCUGAAUUAAGACCUGAGGGUCAGUCUACUUUCACACGAUAGUUCUUGAAUCUUGCCAAUCAUAAGAAUCAUUUGGAAAGCUUUCAAAGACACAGACCCCUGGAUUCUCUUCAUACAUCCUUAAUCAGAAUCUUAGGGAUGGGCCUUUGGCAUAUGAAUUUUUAAAAAGCUGACCAGGUGAUUCUUUCAGUUUUUUAAUGAAAAGCUAGCCAGGUGUGGGCAUCAUUGUUUUAGAACAGGUUUUCUCAACCUUGGCACUGUAGACAGUUUGGGAUGACUAGUUGUUGUAGAGGCUGCCCUGUGCACAGGGCAUAUAGGAUGUUUAGCAGCAUCUCUGGCCUCUACCCACCAGAAGCACUCUCUCUUCCCCAAGUUGUAAAUAACAAAAUGUCUCCAAACAUAACCCGAUUUCUCAGGGAAGAGAGGUGUAAAUCACCAGCAUUUGAAAAGCUCUGCUUUACAAAAUACCCUAUCCUAUAGAACUUUCUGCAGUGAGGGACAUGCCCAGUACAGUAGCCAAAAACCCCAUGUGGCUAUUGAGUGCUUGAAAUGUGGCUGGUACCGAUGGGGACCUGAAUUUUAAAUGUUAUUUUAUUUUAAUUAAGUUAAUUGUAUAAGCUGCAUAUAACUAACGGCUGUCAUAUUGGACAGCACAGCUUUGCAAGAUUCAGAUAUGACUCUAGGCAGUGAAAUCUACACAGUUCUCCUGAAGUACUUCUGAGAUAUGCCAUGUAGGAACAUUUACAAGAAUAGAAAGUCUAGGAAGUUCCCUUGUGGUGCAUCAGGUUAAGGACUCAGCAUAGUUGCAACUGUGGUGCAGGCCGCAGAUGUGGCUUGAGUUCAAUCCCUGACCUGGGAACUUUCAUAUGCCAUGGGUGUGAAGAAAAAAAAAAUAGAAAAUCUAUCUACCUUCCUGUCUGAAUCAGAAAAGAAAAUCUCUUGAUGCUAUGGCCACUGGAAAGUUUACUUGCUGUUUUGCUUUCCAUGUUGCCCAAGAAAUAUUUUUAUUACCACUCCUGAUAUCCAGAUUAUCACAUUUAGAGCAGACUGACUGGAAAUAGCCCCUUUCAGUCCUGAUUUUGAUCUCCUUUUAACAUUUUCUUAGGAAACAUUCCCACUGUUGUCUGCUGUUCUCAAUUCUUAACAGGUUAAACAUGGAGUUACCAUAUGACCCAGCAAUUCUACUCCUAGAUAUAUAACCAAAGGGCAAAACAUAUGUCCACACAAACACUUGAACGUGAAUGUUCAUAGCUGC
RNAcentral lists this long non-coding RNA (4772 nucleotides) under Sus scrofa (pig). Its description in RNAcentral is "lncRNA (ENSSSCG00045029925.1)". Lineage: Eukaryota; Metazoa; Chordata; Mammalia; Artiodactyla; Suidae. The record is from RNAcentral.